CAGAGUUGCAAAACUCCCACAAACCAUCGCGAAUCUUACCCGUACGGUUGCCUCGGCGCUGGCGGUCCGGAAGGCCCUCGGGCCCCCCGGAUCCUCGGGUCUCCCGCUCGCGGGAGGCUGCCCGCCGGAGUGCCGAAACCAAACCCUUGAUAUUUUAUGUCUCUCUGAGUAAACUUUUAAAUAAGUCA
RNAcentral lists this unclassified non-coding RNA (188 nucleotides) under soil metagenome. RNAcentral's name for it is "partial internal transcribed spacer 1". The record is from RNAcentral.